This 646-nucleotide ribosomal RNA is filed under the name Microbacterium sp. RNAcentral's name for it is "bacterial SSU rRNA". It matches the Rfam family "Bacterial small subunit ribosomal RNA", at positions 119 to 779 of the family's 1533-position model. The record is from RNAcentral. Lineage: Bacteria; Bacillati; Actinomycetota; Actinomycetes; Micrococcales; Microbacteriaceae.
GAGCAACCUGCCCUGGACUCUGGGAUAAGCGCUGGAAACGGCGUCUAAUACUGGAUAUGAGCUCCUUCCGCAUGGUGGGGGUUGGAAAGAUUUUUCGGUCUGGGAUGGGCUCGCGGCCUAUCAGCUUGUUGGUGAGGUAAUGGCUCACCAAGGCGUCGACGGGUAGCCGGCCUGAGAGGGUGACCGGCCACACUGGGACUGAGACACGGCCCAGACUCCUACGGGAGGCAGCAGUGGGGAAUAUUGCACAAUGGGCGGAAGCCUGAUGCAGCAACGCCGCGUGAGGGAUGACGGCCUUCGGGUUGUAAACCUCUUUUAGCAGGGAAGAAGCGAAAGUGACGGUACCUGCAGAAAAAGCGCCGGCUAACUACGUGCCAGCAGCCGCGGUAAUACGUAGGGCGCAAGCGUUAUCCGGAAUUAUUGGGCGUAAAGAGCUCGUAGGCGGUUUGUCGCGUCUGCUGUGAAAUCCCGAGGCUCAACCUCGGGCCUGCAGUGGGUACGGGCAGACUAGAGUGCGGUAGGGGAGAUUGGAAUUCCUGGUGUAGCGGUGGAAUGCGCAGAUAUCAGGAGGAACACCGAUGGCGAAGGCAGAUCUCUGGGCCGUAACUGACGCUGAGGAGCGAAAGGGUGGGGAGCAAACAGGCUU